Molecule: ribosomal RNA, 428 nt
Filed under: uncultured Zoogloea sp.
Lineage: Bacteria; Pseudomonadati; Pseudomonadota; Betaproteobacteria; Rhodocyclales; Zoogloeaceae
Description: bacterial SSU rRNA
Rfam family: Bacterial small subunit ribosomal RNA
Source: RNAcentral
UGGGGAAUUUUGGACAAUGGGCGAAAGCCUGAUCCAGCCAUGCCGCGUGAGUGAAUAAGGCCUUCGGGUUGUAAAGCUCUUUCAGAUGGAAAGAAAACGUACAGGUUAAUACCUUGUGCGGAUGACGGUACCAUCAGAAGAAGCACCGGCUAACUACGUGCCAGCAGCCGCGGUAAUACGUAGGGUGCGAGCGUUAAUCGGAAUUACUGGGCGUAAAGCGUGCGCAGGCGGUUAUGUAAGACAGAUGUGAAAUCCCCGGGCGCCACCUGGAAACUGCGUGUGUGACUGCAUAACUAGAGUACGGCAGAGGGAGGGGGAAUUCCGCGUGUAGCAGUGAAAUGCGUAGAGCUGCGGAGGAACACCGAUGGCGAAGGCAGCCUCCGGGGCCAGUACUGACGCUCAUGCACGAAAGCGUGGGGAGCAAACAG